AGUCUUAUAGUCAUAAAUGAUAUUAAACUGCAAAUUUAAAGGAGUAUAAAUUACUAAGGCUU
This 62-nucleotide transfer RNA is filed under the name Chamaemyia juncorum. Its description in RNAcentral is "tRNA-Cys". Lineage: Eukaryota; Metazoa; Arthropoda; Insecta; Diptera; Chamaemyiidae. The record is from RNAcentral.